Molecule: ribosomal RNA, 433 nt
Filed under: uncultured bacterium
Lineage: Bacteria
Description: partial 16S ribosomal RNA
Rfam family: Bacterial small subunit ribosomal RNA
Source: RNAcentral
AACGAACGCUGGCGGCAUGCCUAACACAUGCAAGUCGAACGAGACCUCCGGGUCUAGUGGCGCACGGGUGCGUAACGCGUGGGAACUUGCCCGUAGGUUCGGAAUAACUCAGAGAAAUUUGAGCUAAUACCGGUUGAGGUCUUCGGGCCAAAGAUUUAUCGCCUUUGGCUGGGCCCGCGUUGGAUUAGCUGGUUGGUGGGGGAAAGGCCUACCAAGGCGACGAUCCAUAGCUGGUCUGAGAGGAUGCUCAGCCACACUGGGACUGAGACCCGGCCCAGACUCCUACGGGAGGCAGCAGUGGGGAGUAUUGUGCACUGGGCGCAAGCCUGAUCCAGCCAUGCCGCGUGAGUGAUGAAGGCCUUAGUGUUGUACAGCUCUUUUACCCGAGGUGAUAAUGACAGUAUCGGGAGAAUAAGCUCCGGCUAACUCCGUG